This 440-nucleotide ribosomal RNA is filed under the name uncultured bacterium. Its description in RNAcentral is "partial 16S ribosomal RNA". It matches the Rfam family "Bacterial small subunit ribosomal RNA", at positions 338 to 795 of the family's 1533-position model. The record is from RNAcentral.
CCUACGGGAGGCAGCAGUAGGGAAUAUUGCACAAUGGGGGAAACCCUGAAGCAGCAACGCCGCGUGGAGGAUGAAGGUUUUAGGAUUGUAAACUCCUUUUGUUAGAGAAGAUUAUGACGGUAUCUAACGAAUAAGCACCGGCUAACUCCGUGCCAGCAGCCGCGGUAAUACGGAGGGUGCAAGCGUUACUCGGAAUCACUGGGCGUAAAGAGUGCGUAGGCGGGGUAAGAAGUCAGAUGUGAAAUCCUGUAGCUUAACUACAGAACUGCAUUUGAAAAUGUUACUCUGGAGUGUGGGAGAGGUAGGUGGAAUUCUUGGUGUAGGGGUAAAAUGCGUAGAGAUCAAGAGGAAUACUCAUUGCGAAGGCGACCUGCUGGAACAUUACUGACGCUGAUGCACGAAAGCGUGGGGAGCAAACAGGAUUAGAUACCCCUGUAGUC